UACGUAGGUGGCAAGCGUUGUCCGGAUUUACUGGGUGUAAAGGGCGUGUAGCCGGGCAGACAAGUCAGAUGUGAAAUCCGGGGGCUCAACCCCCGAACUGCAUUUGAAACUGUUGGUCUUGAGUAUCGGAGAGGCAGGCGGAAUUCCUAGUGUAGCGGUGAAAUGCGUAGAUAUUAGGAGGAACACCAGUGGCGAAGGCGGCCUGCUGGACGACAACUGACGGUGAGGCGCGAAAGCGUGGGGAGCAAACAGG
Molecule: ribosomal RNA, 253 nt
Filed under: uncultured bacterium
Lineage: Bacteria
Description: partial 16S ribosomal RNA
Rfam family: Bacterial small subunit ribosomal RNA
Source: RNAcentral